Molecule: ribosomal RNA, 267 nt
Filed under: uncultured bacterium
Lineage: Bacteria
Description: partial 16S ribosomal RNA
Rfam family: Bacterial small subunit ribosomal RNA
Source: RNAcentral
UGUCCUACGGGACGCAGCAGUGAGGAAUAUUGGUCAAUGGCCGAGAGGCUGAACCAGCCAAGUCGCGUGAGGGAAGACGGCCCUACGGGUUGUAAACCUCUUUUGCCGGGGAGCAAGCCUGAGCACGUGUGCCCAGGCGGAGAGUACCCGGAGAAAAAGCAUCGGCUAACUCCGUGCCAGCAGCCGCGGUAAUGCGGAGGAUGCGUGAGUUAUCCGGAUUUAUUGGGUUUAAAGGGUGCGCAGGCGGGCUGUUAAGCCGGCGGUAAA